CUUAUCAAGAGUGAGGGAGGGACCGGCCCGUAGAUCUCACAGCAACCAGUCGAAAGACAUGGUGCUAAAUCCGGCGGUGACGAAAGAUGAG
Molecule: non-coding RNA, 91 nt
Filed under: bovine gut metagenome
Description: SAM riboswitch (S box leader)
Rfam family: SAM riboswitch aptamer (S box leader)
About the family: The SAM riboswitch is found upstream of a number of genes which code for proteins involved in methionine or cysteine biosynthesis in Gram-positive bacteria.
Source: RNAcentral